GGGGUUGUAGCUCAGUGGUAGAGCACUUGCCUAGCAAGCGCAAGGCCCUGGGUUCGGUCCCCAGCUCCG
Molecule: transfer RNA, 69 nt
Filed under: Rattus norvegicus (Norway rat)
Lineage: Eukaryota; Metazoa; Chordata; Mammalia; Rodentia; Muridae
Rfam family: tRNA
About the family: Transfer RNA (tRNA) molecules are approximately 80 nucleotides in length. Their secondary structure includes four short double-helical elements and three loops (D, anti-codon, and T loops). Further hydrogen bonds mediate the characteristic L-shaped molecular structure. tRNAs have two regions of fundamental functional importance: the anti-codon, which is responsible for specific mRNA codon recognition, and the 3' end, to which the tRNAs corresponding amino acid is attached (by aminoacyl-tRNA synthetases). tRNAs cope with the degeneracy of the genetic code in two manners: having more than one tRNA (with a specific anti-codon) for a particular amino acid; and 'wobble' base-pairing, i.e. permitting non-standard base-pairing at the 3rd anti-codon position.
Source: Rfam by way of RNAcentral